RNAcentral lists this ribosomal RNA (550 nucleotides) under uncultured bacterium. RNAcentral's name for it is "bacterial SSU rRNA". It matches the Rfam family "Bacterial small subunit ribosomal RNA", at positions 30 to 575 of the family's 1533-position model. The record is from RNAcentral.
UUGACGCUAGCGGCAUGCUUUACACAUGCAAGUCGAACGGCAGCGCGGGGCAACCUGGCGGCGAGUGGCGAACGGGUGAGUAAUACAUCGCGAACGUGCCCUGUGAUGGGGGAUAACUACGCGAAAGCGUAGCUAAUACCGCAUACGACCUAAGGGUGAAAGUGGGGGAUCGAAANACCUCACGUCAUAGGGAGCGGCCGAUGGCGGAUUAUCUAGUUGGUGAGGUAAAGGCUUACCAAGGCGACGAUCCGUAGCUGGUCUGAGAGGACGACCAGCCACACUGGGACUGAGACACGGCCCAGACUCCUACGGGAGGCAGCAGUGGGGAAUCUUGGACAAUGGGGGCAACCCUGAUCCAGCAAUGCCGCGUGUGGGAUGAAGGCCUUCGGGUUGUAAACCACUUUUGGCGGGGGCGAAAUAUCGAGUGAUAAUACCNUUCGGUGAUGACAGUACCCGCAGAAUAAGCACCGGCUAACUACGUGCCANCAGCCGCGGUAAUACGUAGGGUGCAAGCGUUAAUCGGAAUUACUGGGCGUAAAGCGUGCGCAGG